This 468-nucleotide ribosomal RNA is filed under the name uncultured bacterium. RNAcentral's name for it is "partial 16S ribosomal RNA". It matches the Rfam family "Bacterial small subunit ribosomal RNA", at positions 28 to 507 of the family's 1533-position model. The record is from RNAcentral.
GACGAACGCUGGCGGCGUGCCUAACACAUGCAAGUCGAACGGAAAGGUCCUGCUUUUGUGGGGUGCUCGAGUGGCGAACGGGUGAGUAACACGUGAGUAACCUGCCCCUGACUUUGGGAUAACUUCAGGAAAAUGGGGCUAAUACCGGAUAGGAGCUCUUGCUGCAUGGUGGGGGAUGGAAAGUUUCGGCGGUUGGGGAUGGUCUCGCGGCUUAUUAGCUUGUUGGUGGGGUAGUGGCUUACCAAGGCUUUGACGGGUAGCCGGCCUGAGAGGGUUACCGGCCACAUUGGGACUGAGGUACGGCCCAGACUCCUACGGGAGGCAGCAGUGGGGAAUAUUGCACAAUGGGCGGAAGCCUGAUGCAGCAACGCCGCGUGCGUGAUGACGGCCUUCGGGUUGUAAACCACUUUCGCCUGUGACGAAGCGUGAGUGACGGUAAUGGGUAAAGAAGCACCGGCUAACUACGUG